Cyprinus carpio (common carp) is the source of this 259-nucleotide long non-coding RNA. RefSeq lists it as uncharacterized. The transcript has 4 exons. The record is from RefSeq and is a predicted model, not a curated record. Lineage: Eukaryota; Metazoa; Chordata; Actinopteri; Cypriniformes; Cyprinidae.
UGGAGGAUCUCAACAUUACCAAACAUCAAAACCACAGACCAAGGAGAUUAUGAAGUAACCAACAGCAUCAACACCUUUAGGAAGACCCUCACUGUCAAUGUGAUAAAGGAAGAAAAACCUACAACAAGUGUACUCCCAGGUCCGCCUUCAGGUGCUGCCACAGUGAUUGUUGGUGGUGUUGUGCUGCUGGUGGCUGCAGCUGCUGCUGUGAUCGCUACGGGAUAAAAAAAUGUAUUCUACAUACUGAAGAAAUGAGCCA